Molecule: ribosomal RNA, 330 nt
Filed under: Triticum aestivum (bread wheat)
Lineage: Eukaryota; Viridiplantae; Streptophyta; Magnoliopsida; Poales; Poaceae
Description: partial small subunit ribosomal RNA
Source: RNAcentral
AUGCGAGGCAACGAGAUGGAGCAGGGGCCAGCGACGAGGCAAGGCAGUGAGGUGGAGCAGGGCCAGGGGCGCGUCGAGAGGGUGCAGCAGCUCCUGGCUGCAGCGGCGCGGCGCCGGAGCAGGGUCCAGCGACGAGGCAAAGGCGACGAGGAGGAGCCUGUGAGGGACCGUGGCGGGGAGGUAGUGGAGGACAGUGCAGAGCCGAGGAAGCAGCGGAGCUCCGAGCUCGGCUCCAUGGUGGUAGCUGCGAGCGGCGCCUGGAGGAAGCAGGGAAACGACAACUGGGAGGCCGGAGAAGGGGAUGAUGCAUUGGGGAGCUCCUCUCCCUAG